RNAcentral lists this ribosomal RNA (2284 nucleotides) under Pseudomonas aeruginosa. RNAcentral describes it as "partial 23S ribosomal RNA". It matches the Rfam family "Bacterial large subunit ribosomal RNA", at positions 1 to 2323 of the family's 2925-position model. The record is from RNAcentral. Lineage: Bacteria; Pseudomonadati; Pseudomonadota; Gammaproteobacteria; Pseudomonadales; Pseudomonadaceae.
GGUCAAGUGAAGAAGCGCAUACGGUGGAUGCCUUGGCAGUCAGAGGCGAUGAAAGACGUGGUAGCCUGCGAAAAGCUUCGGGGAGUCGGCAAACAGACUUUGAUCCGGAGAUCUCUGAAUGGGGGAACCCACCUAGGAUAACCUAGGUAUCUUGUACUGAAUCCAUAGGUGCAAGAGGCGAACCAGGGGAACUGAAACAUCUAAGUACCCUGAGGAAAAGAAAUCAACCGAGAUUCCCUUAGUAGUGGCGAGCGAACGGGGAUUAGCCCUUAAGCUUCAUUGAUUUUAGCGGAACGCUCUGGAAAGUGCGGCCAUAGUGGGUGAUAGCCCCGUACGCGAAAGGAUCUUUGAAGUGAAAUCGAGUAGGACGGAGCACGAGAAACUUUGUCUGAACAUGGGGGGACCAUCCUCCAAGGCUAAAUACUACUGACUGACCGAUAGUGAACCAGUACCGUGAGGGAAAGGCGAAAAGAACCCCGGAGAGGGGAGUGAAAUAGAACCUGAAACCGUAUGCGUACAAGCAGUGGGAGCCUACUUGUUAGGUGACUGCGUACCUUUUGUAUAAUGGGUCAGCGACUUAUAUUCAGUGGCAAGCUUAACCGUAUAGGGUAGGCGUAGCGAAAGCGAGUCUUAAUAGGGCGUUUAGUCGCUGGGUAUAGACCCGAAACCGGGCGAUCUAUCCAUGAGCAGGUUGAAGGUUAGGUAACACUGACUGGAGGACCGAACCCACUCCCGUUGAAAAGGUAGGGGAUGACUUGUGGAUCGGAGUGAAAGGCUAAUCAAGCUCGGAGAUAGCUGGUUCUCCUCGAAAGCUAUUUAGGUAGCGCCUCAUGUAUCACUCUGGGGGGUAGAGCACUGUUUCGGCUAGGGGGUCAUCCCGACUUACCAAACCGAUGCAAACUCCGAAUACCCAGAAGUGCCGAGCAUGGGAGACACACGGCGGGUGCUAACGUCCGUCGUGAAAAGGGAAACAACCCAGACCGCCAGCUAAGGUCCCAAAGUUGUGGUUAAGUGGUAAACGAUGUGGGAAGGCUUAGACAGCUAGGAGGUUGGCUUAGAAGCAGCCACCCUUUAAAGAAAGCGUAAUAGCUCACUAGUCGAGUCGGCCUGCGCGGAAGAUGUAACGGGGCUCAAACCACACACCGAAGCUGCGGGUGUCACGUAAGUGACGCGGUAGAGGAGCGUUCUGUAAGCCUGUGAAGGUGAGUUGAGAAGCUUGCUGGAGGUAUCAGAAGUGCGAAUGCUGACAUGAGUAACGACAAUGGGUGUGAAAAACACCCACGCCGAAAGACCAAGGGUUCCUGCGCAACGUUAAUCGACGCAGGGUUAGUCGGUUCCUAAGGCGAGGCUGAAAAGCGUAGUCGAUGGGAAACAGGUUAAUAUUCCUGUACUUCUGGUUACUGCGAUGGAGGGACGGAGAAGGCUAGGCCAGCUUGGCGUUGGUUGUCCAAGUUUAAGGUGGUAGGCUGAAAUCUUAGGUAAAUCCGGGGUUUCAAGGCCGAGAGCUGAUGACGAGUCGUCUUUUAGAUGACGAAGUGGUUGAUGCCAUGCUUCCAAGAAAAGCUUCUAAGCUUCAGGUAACCAGGAACCGUACCCCAAACCGACACAGGUGGUCGGGUAGAGAAUACCAAGGCGCUUGAGAGAACUCGGGUGAAGGAACUAGGCAAAAUGGCACCGUAACUUCGGGAGAAGGUGCGCCGGCUAGGGUGAAGGAUUUACUCCGUAAGCUCUGGCUGGUCGAAGAUACCAGGCCGCUGCGACUGUUUAUUAAAAACACAGCACUCUGCAAACACGAAAGUGGACGUAUAGGGUGUGACGCCUGCCCGGUGCCGGAAGGUUAAUUGAUGGGGUUAGCGCAAGCGAAGCUCUUGAUCGAAGCCCCGGUAAACGGCGGCCGUAACUAUAACGGUCCUAAGGUAGCGAAAUUCCUUGUCGGGUAAGUUCCGACCUGCACGAAUGGCGUAACGAUGGCGGCGCUGUCUCCACCCGAGACUCAGUGAAAUUGAAAUCGCUGUGAAGAUGCAGUGUAUCCGCGGCUAGACGGAAAGACCCCGUGAACCUUUACUGUAGCUUUGCACUGGACUUUGAGCCUGCUUGUGUAGGAUAGGUGGGAGGCUUUGAAGCGUGGACGCCAGUUCGCGUGGAGCCAUCCUUGAAAUACCACCCUGGCAUGCUUGAGGUUCUAACUCUGGUCCGUAAUCCGGAUCGAGGACAGUGUAUGGUGGGCAGUUUGACUGGGGCGGUCUCCUCCUAAAGAGUAACGGAGGAGUACGAAGGUGCGCUC